This is a long non-coding RNA of Magnolia sinica, 2914 nucleotides long. RefSeq lists it as uncharacterized. The record is from RefSeq and is a predicted model, not a curated record. NCBI's taxonomy places the organism in Eukaryota, Viridiplantae, Streptophyta, Magnoliopsida, Magnoliales, Magnoliaceae. The transcript is spliced from 2 exons.
AUGUUCUUUUAGAGUCAUUUGUUAUUGCCUUUAUCCAAUACAAAGUAUUUUCACCAGGAUUAUAAAUUGAGAGAGCCCUCCUAUGGUUACUCUCAAAAGUUGGAUUUCAACUCUGGCUCUCCUUGCAUGCCAAUGCUACACGUGCAUGUGAGGCCUCGCUGUUCCACCAGAUGCGUGGUGCUCUGCCCAUUAAUCAGGCUGAUCAGGUCAUCAGAUGGGUUAUCAGUGCCGUCAAAUGUGGACUUCUGUCAAUUGUUUUUCCGUUAAUUUAUACAUGUUGCCUGUGGUGAUUACCAGAACAACCUGAUUUUGGGCAACGGCACCUGAUUAAUGAACCAGAUCUUGCGAGAGUAGGCGUUCAAGAUCACUCUACCAAGUAGCCAUGCAUUUCUCCAUAUCAAUGUUAGCCAUCCAAGGAAGUAUCAGAAAGAACAAGUAAACAUAUCUGUUCAAUCAAAAUCUCAGUAGCUUCCAUGGAGAAUUGCCACUGCCGACAAGUCAGCUUCCAGUGAUAAGCAUGAGAAACUGCUCAUAAGCUCUUUAUGGCCAAAGCAUAGAGCCCUAAUCUCCACCUUGGAAUUGCAAAUCCCAAUUCGACCUGAAAAUACUGAGUUACCCUGCCACAUGAUCUCUAGUGAUCCCAACCAUGCCCACUCAGACCUGAUUGCCUGCAAAAUUCCCCUCAAAAUACAAGCAAACUAUGUACAUACAUAGGAGCAAUGAUCACCUACAACCAGUUUCCGGUCAGGUUAACAUGCAAACUAUUUUUUAUAGCUUAGAUUACUUCGUAAAUCUUGUUUCCAGUUUUGCCCAUAGAAAACUGGUUGCAAUUUAAAGAUACAACCAAUUGUGUGUGUGCCCAGACACAUACACCCAGACACCUAUACCAACUGGACACUUAUACCCUUUGGGUUUUUGCUGGGCCAAUACUUGGAGACACUUGGACACUCCCGGACACAGCAAAGCAUGUCAUCUGUAUGACAAAUGUCCUAGUGACGUCACACUUAAAUUCAGGCGUCCAAGCAUCUCUCACGAAGCUUUCCUCACAUCCCCCCCACUCUGUAGAUGUUAGUUCAUUUUUUCAUUAUAGACUUGUAGGUACAAUGACCCAUAUAGCAAAACAGCACAAAUUUUGUUGUCUUCUUGCUCUUUUGUUCUUUCACUGUGGUUUCCUAAUUUCAAGUCGUGUUCACACAAACUACUGUCUUUUGAAAUGAUUAUGCACGAUUUUCAUGUUUGGCUAUUUUUUUUUUUUAAACUUUUUUUUUUUAAAUUUUUUUGAGAAAGUUAUCGGAUCAUUGUCAUCAUCUAAUCCUUAUCCCAAUUAAUUGGGGAUUGGCUACAUGUAUCCUUUUCCACCAUUCCAGUCUAUCAAGCGCCAUAACUUCAGUUGGACCAUAGGUCAUCAAGUUUUUUCUUACUGCCUCCACCUACGUCCCUUUGGGCCUUCUCCUUGCCCUUUUAGAGGCUUCUACUUGUACAACUCCUAACUGGUCCAGUUCUUGCUAACUGCAAACUGAAAAUUCCCCGAGUGUUUCUUGGCCUCAGCCUCUCCAACUAUGGUCGCUCUAAACUACAGCGAACUCCACAGAAUGUUCCUCCAAUUCCUCCACAGCUUUCUCAAAGAGAUAACAGUGAAGUCUUUGUGAUUUAGGGCACGAGAAAACUUGCUUGCAUAUGGUGGUCCGUGUGGGAAGAAAGAAAUGGUAGAUGCAUGAGAAAACUUGCGGAAUGAAUUUGGGGAAACAAAGGACAUUAUUAUGGAGAGUGUCCUUGCUGUAUGGUGGUCCAUGUGGGAAGAAAGAAAUGGUAGGUGCUUUCGUAAUGAGAGCAAGUCGGUGGAGGCUACUUCUCAAAGGGCGAGGUUGUUAAUUAUCGAGUGAGCCUCCACUAUCGAUAAGCUUAAGGGUUGUAAUCUUCUUUUUCUUGGGGUGUAGCUGGGCCACUAUCUCAGCGGCUCAGCUUGGCUUCUUUGCAGCUUGGUUUGGUUCCUGUUUUAAUAAAAAAAAAUUGUUAUCUUUCAAAAAAAAAAAAAACUUGCUUGCUGCUAUUCUCUCUGCAAUCUCAAGGACAGGCAACUUUUCACCCUAAAAAAAUUGUCUGUUUCUUUUGAGCCAAACUCCCAACAGAGCUAGGGGCAAGAUCUUCUACAAAAUUCUGCCCUUGAUUAAAAAGACAUUUGGACCAACUCUCCAACACUUCCAGCACCCUUUGCCGAAUCGGCCAAUACAUCCCAAACAAUUUGAAGAAGCCACAGACCAUCUUGCGGGCCAUUGUGCAGAAGGUGAUUUAUGGAUGCAUCUUCCCUCUUACAUAUAACACUUGUUGGGCAUUGAGGAACCUCUUUUCUUGAGCUGAUCAACAUCAAGAAUCCUUUCUUUGUCUGCCGUCCACAUGAAGGCUACAAUGCAUGGGAGGCAACCGUAGGCUGCAAGAAGGUAGGAAACGAUGCUCCACUGGACCUGUGAGCUUCUGGAAGUAAUGCUGUAAACUCACCCGAUUCGAUUGCUGAUUCUAUCCCUUUCCAAAAUUUACAAUCAGCUGCAUCUCUAAUGCCUUGGACUGGUUCCUAACAUGGUAUACCAAAAUGGUUAUGUAACAGUAACUGUGGUAAUUGUUAUGCGUUAGGGAGCCAAAGUGGCUGUUAGAAAAGAGAAAAAAAAAGGCCCGUAAUGGCCCCGUAAUGGGGCCAAAACCAUUUUUUUUUUUUUUUCAAAAAAAGAGGAAAAAAAAAAAAAGAGAGGCUGUAAUGGUCAUUACGGCUUGUAUCAUAAUGGUAACGGUGGUAGCUGUUAUGGUCACCGUUAUCGUUAUGGAAUAACUUGGUUCCUACACUUUCAUGAAGUCUGUAAAUUAUGACAUUUCUUCCUGACAUUAAUCUGAUGUUCCAGCUAAUUGAUUAUUCAUUGGUUUA